UAGCAAAAUACAAAUCUUGAUGCGCUUUAAUUCAUAUCUGUUCACAUGCGACCUCUGACCCCAGAUGGAGAUUUGAUGGCAACCAGUAUUUAGUGGAAUCCCAGUUCAGUACAGUAGCCCACAUGCAUACGGAACCGUGCAAGAACUUUGAAUUGAGCUCAAGAACUGUGGCUAUAAUACUGCAUGCUGAGUCUACAGAUCAUUGUAAACUUUAGAUGUCAAUUGUAAACUUCAUAUGUCAUUGUAAACUAUGUGUAGAUUUGAAGUAUCCAGCUCUUCAA
Long non-coding RNA from Halichondria panicea, 281 nucleotides. RefSeq lists it as uncharacterized. The record is from RefSeq and is a predicted model, not a curated record. Lineage: Eukaryota; Metazoa; Porifera; Demospongiae; Suberitida; Halichondriidae. The transcript is spliced from 2 exons.